UAUAAAACAAAACUAUUUAUUAAUAUAUUGACAUGAAUAUAUUUAAUCAUUCUAAUCCACGACCAAUUUUAGAUGUUUUCAUACCACAGUGCUCCCCAAAAGGUAGCUGGGCAAAAAAAUUUGCUCAAGAACAAAAAACUAAGACAGAAAGCGCGAAAGAGAAGGCAAGACAAUAGCUUUGUAAACGACAAGAGAAAGAAAAGAAAGUGGUGGAGAAGUAGGAGGAUGAGAGAACAGCACGUGAACUGAGAACUUGCGCACGAGAGAAAAACAACAGCAAAAUAAUAACAAAAGAAAAAUACACCACCCACGCAUUCACAAAAAACGCAUUGAACUUUGCUGAGCCAGAGAAAAGAUCAGAGAACAAUCUGAGAAAAAAUUAAGAGAAUAUCUUAAAAAAAUAAAAAAAUAUAUAUUGUUUUUAUAUUUCACAUUCUUUAAUCGUGCACAACUGCAAUCCGUUUGCCAGCAAAAAAAAAAACAACAACAAAGUUAUAGUGCAACUACAACUCAAGGCAAACCAUUUAGGCAGCGACGCCGGCAGAGCGUGGGCAGCGACGUAGGCAGAAGAGAAGACGGAAAUACCAGGCGAACGAUGACGAACGUAAAAACUACGCACCAAGCACAAAAACAACACCAAAACACGCCACGAAAAACAAACAAACAAGCAAGGAGAGCGAGCGAGAAAAAUAUACCAAGGGGGAGAGAAUGACUGAGAUGGCCGAUGGGAGUGGGAGAGCACCUGCCCCCAACUGUACCGCCCACUCGGCUAACGAGCAAACAAAACAAAACAAAAAUAAAUAGAAACCGAAACAGAAACACAAGGAAAGCAGCGAAAUAGAAAAGCAGGAAAUAUUUCGAACUUAUCAAGUGCGGGGGAGGGGAUAUAGAAGACUUACAGCUUUGCAUUUCUAUUAUUAAUUAGUUCCUACAAAAUGAACUCGAAAGUAUUAAACAAAGUAUGAAGAAUCGUAAAGAACAUUUUGAAGGACUUAUUCUACUUUUAUUCAUAAAAUA
Molecule: long non-coding RNA, 1017 nt
Organism: Drosophila eugracilis
Lineage: Eukaryota; Metazoa; Arthropoda; Insecta; Diptera; Drosophilidae
Exons: 2
Source: RefSeq, a predicted model, not a curated record